This 497-nucleotide ribosomal RNA is filed under the name uncultured bacterium. Its description in RNAcentral is "partial 16S ribosomal RNA". It matches the Rfam family "Bacterial small subunit ribosomal RNA", at positions 28 to 507 of the family's 1533-position model. The record is from RNAcentral.
GAUGAACGCUGGCGGCGUGCCUAAUACAUGCAAGUCGAGCGAACAGACGAGGAGCUUGCUCCUCUGACGUUAGCGGCGGACGGGUGAGUAACACGUGGAUAACCUACCUAUAAGACUGGGAUAACUUCGGGAAACCGGAGCUAAUACCGGAUAAUAUAUUGAACCGCAUGGUUCAAUAGUGAAAGACGGUUUUGCUGUCACUUAUAGAUGUAUCCGCGCCGCAUUAGCUAGUUGGUAAGGUAACGGCUUACCAAGGCGACGAUGCGUAGCCGACCUGAGAGGGUGAUCGGCCACACUGGAACUGAGACACGGUCCAGACUCCUACGGGAGGCAGCAGUAGGGAAUCUUCCGCAAUGGGCGAAAGCCUGACGGAGCAACGCCGCGUGAGUGAUGAAGGUCUUCGGAUCGUAAAACUCUGUUAUUAGGGAAGAACAAAUGUGUAAGUAACUAUGCACGUCUUGACGGUACCUAAUGAGAAAGCCACGGCUAACUACGUG